AUUCGCAGUAGUUGGCACAACACUAGGAGCCAUGGCUGGAGCUCGGGUUGGAUUGAAAAGCAAGAGUGGCUUUCUUCAUGGCGCCACAGUUGGAACCCUUAUGGGGUGUAUUCUCUCUGCCUAAAUCUUCAAACUAUCACUUGCUUUCUGGGAUUCUGAUGAUUGUGUAGUUAGGUUCUUCAUUUCUUUGGUAGGUUGUCUCUGCUUCCUUCCUUGGAACUACACUAGUCAUUAUGGUGGCUUAGAACUGAGAAUUCAUAUCUUAAUCUUUGUCUCCUAAAGAUUGAAAAAGUUUCACAUUGCCUAAAAGAAAGACUCAUACAAGGAAGGCUUAGUCCAGCCAUGAAUGCUCUGCAAGAAACUCAGGUGAUUUUUAGCGAGAAAUACGUUAUUAAUUUGUGGUAAUAAAAUAUAUGUAAGUAAUUAACUGUUCAUUUCAAUGUGAAUGUGAUGCUUCAGGUUGAUGGUGUCUUUCUAGCAAGCAAGGAUGUCCGAAGGACGCAGAAAAUUCCAAAGAUUGAACUCGCAGACGAAAACAUAGUAGAUACCUUACGCAAUGGAGCAUCCUGUUCAAUUUGUCUUCAGGACUUCGAGGUGGGGGAAACGGUUUGUAGCUUGCCCCAUUGCCACCACACCUUUCAUCUACCAUGUAUUCUUAAGUGGUUUGAUGGACACUGCUCUUGCCCGUUGUGUAGAACAAGAUUAUCCAGAACGUGGAUCAAUGUAGCAUGUAAAAUGAGAAAAGAACUGCAAAAUGCAAGUUAGCAUAGAAUAGAAUGCAAUGUGUGAGAAUAGAUUCUUUUACAUCUUGAAUUGUACGCAUCCUGAUCUAGAAAUAUGAUGAUGAUGAUAUCAAAUUAUUGGUUGAUGGGUUAUUUUGUCUUGUGAUAGAUAUUGCAUAUGCAAGGAUGAUUUAUAUGCAUUUAUUUUUACUUGACUUGGGAUAUAAAUUUAAUACAAAGGGCUUUUGCGUUUCUAUCAAACUUCCUAUCAUUUCCAGUUGGCCAAAGUACAGAGAACGGAAUUACUAAAUAAUAAGUGAAAUUACAGUUCUUGCAAAAGCUCUCGGACUCCUUGAAUCAAAGAAUUCCAUAACUAUAGAAACUAGACAAACAACUCCACGCACUUAAGUUGAGAAACCAUACCACUUUUUGCGAGUGGAAAUGGCUGAGCAUGAACCUUGGUUGGAAGAAUCGCCAGACU
This 1203-nucleotide unclassified non-coding RNA is filed under the name Hevea brasiliensis (rubber tree). The record is from RNAcentral. Lineage: Eukaryota; Viridiplantae; Streptophyta; Magnoliopsida; Malpighiales; Euphorbiaceae.